Molecule: ribosomal RNA, 293 nt
Filed under: Burkholderia gladioli
Lineage: Bacteria; Pseudomonadati; Pseudomonadota; Betaproteobacteria; Burkholderiales; Burkholderiaceae
Description: partial 16S ribosomal RNA
Rfam family: Bacterial small subunit ribosomal RNA (bases 1-228)
Source: RNAcentral
UGCAACUCGAGUGCAUGAAGCUGGAAUCGCUAGUAAUCGCGGAUCAGCAUGCCGCGGUGAAUACGUUCCCGGGUCUUGUACACACCGCCCGUCACACCAUGGGAGUGGGUUUUACCAGAAGUGGCUAGUCUAACCGCAAGGAGGACGGUCACCACGGUAGGAUUCAUGACUGGGGUGAAGUCGUAACAAGGUAGCCGUAUCGGAAGGUGCGGCUGGAUCACCUCCUUUCUCGAGCUAAUACCGCAAAAUUGAGCGUUCACGCUUAUCGGCUGUAAAUCAAGACAGACUCAGGG